CCUACGGGAGGCAGCAGUGGGGAAUAUUGCACAAUGGGCGGAAGCCUGAUGCAGCAACGCCGCGUGCGGGAUGACGGGCUUCGGGUUGUAAACCGCUUUCGCCUGUGACGAAGCGUGAGUGACGGUAAUGGGUAAAGAAGCACCGGCUAACUACGUGCCAGCAGCCGCGGUAAU
This 174-nucleotide ribosomal RNA is filed under the name bacterium symbiont of Siboglinidae sp. Its description in RNAcentral is "partial 16S ribosomal RNA". It matches the Rfam family "Bacterial small subunit ribosomal RNA", at positions 338 to 524 of the family's 1533-position model. The record is from RNAcentral.